This 75-nucleotide transfer RNA is filed under the name Candidatus Uhrbacteria bacterium. RNAcentral describes it as "tRNA-Glu". It matches the Rfam family "tRNA". Rfam says of the family: Transfer RNA (tRNA) molecules are approximately 80 nucleotides in length. Their secondary structure includes four short double-helical elements and three loops (D, anti-codon, and T loops). The record is from RNAcentral. Lineage: Bacteria; Candidatus Uhriibacteriota.
GGCCCGUUCGUUUAAUGGCUAGGACGUCGCCCUCUCACGGCGAAAAUAGGGGUUCGAUUCCCCUACGGGCUACCA